RNAcentral lists this ribosomal RNA (685 nucleotides) under uncultured bacterium. RNAcentral's name for it is "bacterial SSU rRNA". It matches the Rfam family "Bacterial small subunit ribosomal RNA", at positions 9 to 687 of the family's 1533-position model. The record is from RNAcentral.
GAGUUUGAUCCUGGCUCAGGAUGAACGCUAGCGGCAGGCCUAACACAUGCAAGUCGAACGGUAACAGGAAAUAGCUUGCUAUUUUGCUGACGAGUGGCGCACGGGUGCGUAACGCGUAUACAAUCUACCUUUUGCUGAGGGAUAGCCCAGAGAAAUUUGGAUUAAUACCUCAUGGUAUUAUUGAUAGGCAUCUAUUAAUAAUUAAAGGUUACGGCAAAAGAUGAGUAUGCGUCCCAUUAGCUAGUUAGUGAAGUAACGGUUCACCAAGGCAACGAUGGGUAGGGGUCCUGAGAGGGAGAUCCCCCACACUGGUACUGAGACACGGACCAGACUCCUACGGGAGGCAGCAGUGAGGAAUAUUGGACAAUGGGCGAGAGCCUGAUCCAGCCAUGCCGCGUGCAGGAAGACUGCCCUAUGGGUUGUAAACUGCUUUUAUACAGGAAGAAUAAGCCUUACGUGUAAGGUGAUGACGGUACUGUAAGAAUAAGGACCGGCUAACUCCGUGCCAGCAGCCGCGGUAAUACGGAGGGUCCGAGCGUUAUCCGGAAUUAUUGGGUUUAAAGGGUCCGUAGGCGGAUGAUUAAGUCAGGGGUGAAAGUUUGCAGCUCAACUGUAAAAUUGCCUUUGGUACUGGUCAUCUUGAGUUGUAUUGAAGUAGGCGGAAUAUGUAGUGUAGCGGUGAAAU